CUUAGUUCAUGCGGCGGAUGAGCGCGUUGAUCUUGUCCUCGCGGUUACCAGCCUCGCCACCCUCGAUGUAGUGCAGGCGCUUCUUGGUCAUGCCGCCGAGAGGGGCAGACAGCUUGAAGGGCCAGAGGAAGUUGGAGCAAGCGGUGAAGUGGGGGCCGCAGGUGUAGAUCUCGUGGAUGAGAUCCUCAAUGCAGAUGAUGCCCUUCUCGCCGAGCGCCUUCUCAAUGAUGGAGUUGUCGGUGAGGGGGAUGCGCUGCUUGUUCACCUUGCCGUACCCGCGCUUGUAGAUGAGCUCCUUCACCGACUUGAGGUUGGGGUAGCCGAACAUGACGUAGGGCUCAACCUUCCUCAGCAUGUUGAUAGUCGCCUUGUUCACGCGCAUGAAGACACCGUUGUGGAUCUGGCGCAGGCGGAGGAGCUGCAUGAUCUUGCGGGUCUUGGGGUGCAUGUCGUUGAUACC
Molecule: long non-coding RNA, 460 nt
Filed under: Micromonas commoda
Lineage: Eukaryota; Viridiplantae; Chlorophyta; Mamiellophyceae; Mamiellales; Mamiellaceae
Description: long non-coding RNA (MCOM_LNC000181)
Source: RNAcentral